Molecule: signal recognition particle RNA, 89 nt
Filed under: Acinetobacter ursingii
Lineage: Bacteria; Pseudomonadati; Pseudomonadota; Gammaproteobacteria; Moraxellales; Moraxellaceae
Description: Bacterial small signal recognition particle RNA
Rfam family: Bacterial small signal recognition particle RNA
About the family: The signal recognition particle (SRP) is a universally conserved ribonucleoprotein involved in the co-translational targeting of proteins to membranes. Archaeal SRP consists of a 7S RNA and homologues of the eukaryotic SRP19 and SRP54 proteins. In most bacteria, the SRP consists of a 4.5S RNA and the Ffh protein (a homologue of the eukaryotic SRP54 protein).
Source: RNAcentral
UGGUGGCUUCGCAAUUGUACUCUGUGAACCCCGCCAGGACCGGAAGGUAGCAACGGUAGCAGAUCUAUGAUGUGCCGAGGUUUUGCUAG